GCCCUGACUCCCCCACCCUGCAGCUCGUGGCUCUCCCUGCUCUCCCGCUCUGCUGCUGGCAGCCGGAUCCAGAUCUGCUCUGUUCUGAGCGCUUUGUUCUAUACUCUGUUUCAGGGGCUGGCUGAACUUUGCUUUCGAUAACGUCUUCAAAACUCAGUCAGCAAAUGGAGUUCAAUAAUAUCAUAGGGCAGUUGGAAUUACCAGAUGUUUAUAAAACGGUCUAUCCAGCAGAUAAGAAAACACAUUCUUCUCAGUGCCCCAUGGAGCUAUCCAUCAAACUUGUAAGGUAGACCAACAGCGGUACUUCCCAACCUGUUCUACAGAAUAGAAAGUGAAAGUACUUGUUCUGUAAAGCUGGUUUUACCCUGAUAUCAACACCACAUAGGGGCAGAACAAAGAGAAGAACUGCAGAUCGUUUAAUCUGAUGAACGUAAAUGUAAAAAUUUUCAACAAAACAUUUGCAAACUGAAUUCAAGAAUACUUCAAGAAAAAAAAAAAUCACAUCACUACCAAGUUGGUUUCAUUCCAAGGUUGUAGGACGGUGCAUCUGUGACUUUAUGAUGAUGCAAAAAAGGCCUUUACCGGAGUUUUGGCAGUUCUAGACAAAGGAGAGACAGAAGGAACAUCAUUAGCGUGGUAGACUGUGUGCCGUGAGUGUGUGGUCAACAUUGCACUAACACUCAGAAACGAGGCAGAUUUUCUCUGAUGUCAUACUUGAGCUCUUACCCAGAGCACCAGGAAAGAGCAGAAAAUUAAAAGACUGUAAUAGGACAUAUCAUGCUGACCUGUUUGUACAUGAUGUGGUCCUACGUGUAAGGCAUCCUGUGCGCUCCAGCAAACUUGGAGGACUAAUGUGUAUUUUAGGAAAGUCUCAGGACACAAAUUCAGUGGGAUCUCUGUACCAGUGGUGAACUUGCUGGGAAAGUGCCCACUCUUCAUACUUAGCAAUA
Molecule: long non-coding RNA, 950 nt
Filed under: Mus pahari (shrew mouse)
Lineage: Eukaryota; Metazoa; Chordata; Mammalia; Rodentia; Muridae
Description: lncRNA (MGP_PahariEiJ_G0032891.1)
Source: RNAcentral